RNAcentral lists this ribosomal RNA (429 nucleotides) under Bacteroidota bacterium. Its description in RNAcentral is "Bacteroidetes bacterium partial 16S ribosomal RNA". It matches the Rfam family "Bacterial small subunit ribosomal RNA", at positions 355 to 776 of the family's 1533-position model. The record is from RNAcentral. Lineage: Bacteria; Pseudomonadati; Bacteroidota.
UAGGGAAUCUUCGGCAAUGGGGGGAACCCUGACCGAGCAACGCCGCGUGAGUGAAGAAGGUUUUCGGAUCGUAAAGCUCUGUUGUUAAGGAAGAACGAGUGUGAGAAUGGAAAGUUCAUACUGUGACGGUACUUAACCAGAAAGGGACGGCUCACUACGUGCCAGCAGCCGCGGUAAUACGUAGGUCCCGAGCGUUGUCCGGAUUUAUUGGGCGUAAAGCGAGCGCAGGCGGUUAGAUAAGUCUGAAGUUAAAGGCAGUGGCUCAACCAUUGUAGGCUUUGGAAACUGUUUAACUUGAGUGCAGAAGGGGAGAGUGGAAUUCCAUGUGUAGCGGUGAAAUGCGUAGAUAUAUGGAGGAACACCGGUGGCGAAAGCGGCUCUCUGGUCUGUAACUGACGCUGAGGCUCGAAAGCGUGGGGAGCGAACAGG